GCGGGAAUAGCUCAGCUGGUAGAGCGCAACCUUGCCAAGGUUGAGGUCGCGAGUUCGAGUCUCGUUUCCCGCU
Molecule: transfer RNA, 73 nt
Filed under: Candidatus Nitrotoga sp. LAW
Lineage: Bacteria; Pseudomonadati; Pseudomonadota; Betaproteobacteria; Nitrosomonadales; Gallionellaceae
Also listed under: 4 other names
Description: tRNA-Gly
Rfam family: tRNA
About the family: Transfer RNA (tRNA) molecules are approximately 80 nucleotides in length. Their secondary structure includes four short double-helical elements and three loops (D, anti-codon, and T loops).
Source: RNAcentral